AGUGAACGCUGGCGGCGUGCCUAAUACAUGCAAGUCGAACGGAGAUUCAGUAGCUUGCUAUUUAAUCUUAGUGGCGCACGGGUGAGUAAUAUAUAGCUAACUUGCCCAUUACUAAGGGACAACAGUUGGAAACGACUGCUAAUACCUUAUACUCCGUAUCUAUAUAAGUAGAUACGGGAAAGUUUUUCGGUAAUGGAUAGGGCUAUAUCGUAUCAGCUAGUUGGUAAGGUAAUGGCUUACCAAGGCUAUGACGCGUAACUGGUCUGAGAGGAUGAUCAGUCACACUGGAACUGAGACACGGUCCAGACUCCUACGGGAGGCAGCAGUAGGGAAUAUUGCUCAAUGGGGGAAACCCUGAAGCAGCAACGCCGCGUGGAGGAUGACACUUUUCGGAGCGUAAACUCCUUUUCUUGGGAAAGAAUUAUGACGGUACCCAAGGAAUAAGCACCGGCUAACUCCGUG
This 462-nucleotide ribosomal RNA is filed under the name uncultured bacterium. RNAcentral describes it as "partial 16S ribosomal RNA". It matches the Rfam family "Bacterial small subunit ribosomal RNA", at positions 29 to 507 of the family's 1533-position model. The record is from RNAcentral.